GUGAGGAAUAUUGCGCAAUGGAGGCAACUCUGACGCAGCCAUGCCGCGUGCAGGAAGAAGGCGCUACGCGUUGUAAACUGCUUUUAACCGGGAAGAAACCCCAGGACGUGUCCUGGGUUGACGGUACCGGAGGAAUAAGCACCGGCUAACUUCGUGCCAGCAGCCGCGGUAAUACGAAGGGUGCAAGCGUUAUCCGGAUUCAUUGGGUUUAAAGGGUGCGUAGGCGGAGCGUUAAGUCAGUGGUGAAAUCCUGCAGCUUAACUGUAGACUUGCCAUUGAUACUGGCGCUCUUGAGUGCGCUUGAAGUGGGCGGAAUGUGCCGUGUAGCGGUGAAAUGCUUAGAUAUGGCACAGAACACCAAUUGCGAAGGCAGCUCACUAAGGCGAUACUGACGCUGAGGCACGAAAGCGUGGGGAUCGAACAGGAUUAGAAACCCCAGUAGUCC
RNAcentral lists this ribosomal RNA (445 nucleotides) under uncultured bacterium. RNAcentral describes it as "bacterial SSU rRNA". It matches the Rfam family "Bacterial small subunit ribosomal RNA", at positions 354 to 796 of the family's 1533-position model. The record is from RNAcentral.